This is a non-coding RNA of Triticum aestivum (bread wheat), 136 nucleotides long. NCBI's taxonomy places the organism in Eukaryota, Viridiplantae, Streptophyta, Magnoliopsida, Poales, Poaceae. The record is from Rfam.
UGUGUACUCCCUCCGUUCCAAAAUACUUGACUUCCAUUUGUCCAAAAAUGGAUGUACGUGUAUACUAAAACAUGUCUAGAUACAUAUAUAUUUUGACAAAUAGAAGGCAUGUAUUGUGCAACGGAGGGAGUAGAAU